Molecule: ribosomal RNA, 467 nt
Filed under: uncultured bacterium
Lineage: Bacteria
Description: partial 16S ribosomal RNA
Rfam family: Bacterial small subunit ribosomal RNA
Source: RNAcentral
GACGAACGCUGGCGGCGUGCUUAACACAUGCAAGUCGAACGGAAAGGCCUCUUUCGGGGGGUACUCGAGUGGCGAACGGGUGAGUAACACGUGAGUAACCUGCCCUUGACUUUGGGAUAACUUCAGUAAACUGGGGCUAUUACCUGAUAGGAGCUCCUGCUUCAUGGUGGGGGUUCGAAAGUUUCGGCGGUUGGGGAUGGACUCGCGGCUUAUCAGCUUGUUGGUGGGGUAGUGGCUUACCAAGGCUUUGACGGGUAGCCGGCCUGAGAGGGUGACCGGCGACAUUGGGACUGAGAUACGGCCCAGACGCCGACGGGAGGCAGCAGGGGGGAAUAUUGCACAAUGGGUGGAAGCCUGAUGCAGCAACGCCGUGGGCGGGAGGACGGCCUUCGGGUUGUAAAACGCUUUCGCUCAUGACGAAGCUUUGUGUGACGGUAGUGGGUAAAGAAGCACCGGCUAACUACGUG